This 349-nucleotide unclassified non-coding RNA is filed under the name soil metagenome. Its description in RNAcentral is "partial contains 5.8S ribosomal RNA, internal transcribed spacer 2, and large subunit ribosomal RNA". The stretch from base 1 to 119 matches the Rfam family "5.8S ribosomal RNA", at positions 35 to 154 of the family's 154-position model. The record is from RNAcentral.
GAUGAAGAACGUAGCGAAAUGCGAUAAGUAAUGCGAAUUGCAGAAUCCGUGAGUCAUCGAAUCUUUGAACGCACAUUGCGCCCUCUGGUAUUCCGGAGGGCAUGCCUGUUCGUGCGUCAUUAUCACCCCUCAAGCCCGGCUUGUUGUUGGAUGCAGCGCUUAUCCCGCUCCUCCCAAAGAUAAUGACGGCGUCUGCGACGACUCCUGUACACUGAGCUUUCGGGCACGUACACGGCUAGAAGUCCAGACCCGGUCGCCGUCCCCCCCGCGGGGACACCCAUUACCACAAGGUUGACCUCGGAUCAGGUAGGAAUACCCGCUGAACUUAAGCAUAUCAAUAAGCGGAGGA